UCUGGUGCCUAUAGCGCGGGGGAAACACCUCUUCCCAUUCCGAACAGAGAAGUUAAGCCCCGCAGCGCCGAUGGUACUGCCCGAAAAGGGCGGGAGAGUAGGUCGGUGCCAGGG
This is a ribosomal RNA of Rhodothermus marinus DSM 4252, 114 nucleotides long. NCBI's taxonomy places the organism in Bacteria, Pseudomonadati, Rhodothermota, Rhodothermia, Rhodothermales, Rhodothermaceae. The record is from Rfam.